This is a non-coding RNA of Acanthosepion pharaonis, 111 nucleotides long. NCBI's taxonomy places the organism in Eukaryota, Metazoa, Mollusca, Cephalopoda, Sepiida, Sepiidae. The record is from the annotation of a GenBank genome assembly.
UAUGGCCAUAUAGCAUUGAAACAUUGGUUCCCGUGUGAUCAUCGACAUUAAGCAACAUCAAGCCUGGUCAGUACUUAGAUGGGUGACUACUUGGGAAUCGGGUGCUGUAAG